AGAUGUUCUCUUAGAUAUUGGUAUGGAACGCAGGGAAGCCUGGACUAACUGGAUAAAGUCAUAUAUACAAGAGCUCUCCACAACUGGUGUAUUAGAUGAGGAGAGGAAAGUUUCAAUGAAUUUUGUAAAUCCAAAGUACAUCCUCAGAAACUAUCUAUGCCAGAAUGCCAUUGAUGCAGCAGAACAAGGCGAUUUUGAGGAGGUUCGGCAGUUAUUGAAGGUUAUGCAAUGUCCAUUUGAUGAACAGCCUGGUAUGGAGAAAUAUGCACGCUUGCCUCCAGCUUGGGCUCAUCGUCCGGGUGUAUGCAUGCUUUCUUGUUCCUCAUAAGGUUUCCGGGUGUAUGCUUAUGCUUUCUUGUUCCUCAUAAUAUCUCCACUAUGUAAUACCAGAGUUUCACUUGUAUAUAUAUAACUAGUCUCCCGGCACGUGCGUUGCACGUGUAUUCCAAAUAAAAAUCAAUAAAAAAAAUAAAUGAAAAAGUAUAUAAUAAACUAUUAGGAG
This 502-nucleotide unclassified non-coding RNA is filed under the name Hevea brasiliensis (rubber tree). The record is from RNAcentral. Lineage: Eukaryota; Viridiplantae; Streptophyta; Magnoliopsida; Malpighiales; Euphorbiaceae.